GACGAACGCUGGCGGCGUGCCUAAUACAUGCAAGUCGAACGCACAGUUUAUACCGUAGCUUGCUACACCAUAGACUGUGAGUUGCGAACGGGUGAGUAACGCGUAGGUAACCUGCCUGGUAGCGGGGGAUAACUAUUGGAAACGAUAGCUAAUACCGCAUAAUAUUGAUUAUUGCAUGAUAAUUAAUUGAAAGGUGCAAUUGCACCACUACCAGAUGGACCUGCGUUGUAUUAGCUAGUAGGUGAGGUAACGGCUCACCUAGGCGAGGAUACAUAGCCGACCUGCGAGGGUGAGCGGCCACACUGGGACUGAGACAGGGCCCAGACGCCUACGGGAGGCAGCAGUAGGGAAUCUUCGGCAAUGGACGAAAGUCUGACCGAGCAACGCCGCGUGAGUGAAGAAGGUUUUCGGAUCGUAAAGCUCUGUUGUAAGAGAAGAACGGGUGUGAGAGUGGAAAGUUCACACUGUGACGGUAUCUUACCAGAAAGGGACGGCUAACUACGUG
RNAcentral lists this ribosomal RNA (505 nucleotides) under uncultured bacterium. RNAcentral describes it as "partial 16S ribosomal RNA". It matches the Rfam family "Bacterial small subunit ribosomal RNA", at positions 28 to 507 of the family's 1533-position model. The record is from RNAcentral.